Molecule: long non-coding RNA, 729 nt
Filed under: Ananas comosus (pineapple)
Lineage: Eukaryota; Viridiplantae; Streptophyta; Magnoliopsida; Poales; Bromeliaceae
Description: long non-coding RNA (ACOM_LNC027668)
Source: RNAcentral
UACACCUGUUGUUGUAGUGAUCACUGUUGGCUUAAAUGGGUCAGCAUUCUGGCCUGUGGCGGGAGGCCAUGUGGGCCGAGUCAAGUUCGAAAUGGCGUGAGGCUGGGUUGGGCCGAGUCAUAUUCGAAGUGGCGUGAGGUCAGGUUGGCCGAGUCACAAUCGAGACCCGUGGGCGCUAUUUCUGUACGCUUUAAGUGAAUUGGUUGCGUAUUUCUAACAGCUCGAGUUUUUGGGAUUAAUGGUUACCGCCAACGAUCCGACAAUCACAUCCCAUUCCAUUGAAUGGUCGUCGUCGCGGAACGAUCCUGCAGCUCAUUAUUUGAUGAUGGAAUAUAUUUAAAACUGUUGAAUUAGUCGUUGGAUGAACGACGAGUUGUAGACGACCGUGAAAUUGAGCAAUGGUGGGAUUGGUCAGUGUGUGUGUGCGGAAAAAAUUAUAUGCAUGCUCUUCGAAUAGAUUAUCAAAUCACACUUAGGAGCUGUUCGGAGAUAAUACUUAAGUAGAGAGCUCUAUAAUGGCACUUCGUUGGAAUCCUCAUAUUCAGUGUCAUGUGUUAAUUUUGCUUUCACAAAAAUAAAACUAGCAUAUGGUAGUAAAUCCGAGACCCCUCAAUGGAGCCCCAAAAUAAAAUUUUUUUUGCCGUUUAGUAUAAAAUUUGUAAUAUUUUAAAAAUAUUAUAUAUUUAAUAUUCAGAAUGGAAAAUUUGUUAUUGACACUUAGAUUGAAAA